Molecule: long non-coding RNA, 728 nt
Organism: Erinaceus europaeus (western European hedgehog)
Lineage: Eukaryota; Metazoa; Chordata; Mammalia; Eulipotyphla; Erinaceidae
Exons: 3
Source: RefSeq, a predicted model, not a curated record
GAACCUGGAAGACAGAGACAGCACAGCACUGCUCCACUAUCCAGGAAGCUUCCUCUGGUGUCUUGGUGCCAAGAUUCAAUGAGUGGGGGCUUUCUGCAGGCACUCUACCAGUUCCUGCUGCCCUGGACAAGAAGGACCCUGCAGAACACAAGGAGGUGGCAGUUAGAGAGCAGAAGGGGAGAGAAGGAAGUGCUGUGGAGCAUGGGAAGGGACCAUCAUUUCAGCAAGUGGAGCUUGAAGAAAUCCUGUGAAGUGAGAUCAGCCAGAAAGAGAAGGAUGAACAUAGGAUGAUCUUGCUCAUGGAUAGAAGUGGAGAAACAAGAACAGAAGGGAAAACACGAAGCAGAGCUGGGACUGGGUUUGGCGUAUUGCACCAGAAUAGGAGCCUAUGUGGGGAAGAGGGAGUUCUCAUAUCCUGGUGAAAGGAGGUGGAGGAAGAACCUAGGCUGGGGAGAGAAUAUUCUGCACAAAAAUGAGAAAUUUCAACUGUGUUUACUGCAAACCAUUAAUCCCCCCAAUAAGAUGUAUUUGUAAAUAUACUGGUUUUUAAAAUAUCUAUUUAUUUAUUACUGGAUAGAGACAGAAAUUGAGGGGGGGGAGAUAGGAAUGGAGAGAGACACCUGUAGCCCUGCUUCACCACUCAUGAAGCUUUCCCCCUGCAGGUGGGGACCAGGGACUUGAACCUGGGUUCUUGUGCACUGUCAUGUGUGUGCUCAACCAGAUGUGCC